GGAGGGUGCAAGCGUUAUCCGGAUUCACUGGGUUUAAAGGGUGCGUAGGUGGGUCUGUAAGUCCGUGGUGAAAUCUCCGAGCUUAACUUGGAAACUGCCAUGGAUACUAUAGGUCUUGAAUACUGUGGAGGUCAGCGGAAUAUGUCAUGUAGCGGUGAAAUGCUUAGAUAUGACAUAGAACACCAAUUGCGAAGGCAGCUGGCUACACAAAUAUUGACACUGAGGCACGAAAGCGUGGGGAUCAAACAGGAUUAGAUACCCUGGUAGUCCACGCCCUAAACUAUGGAUACUCGACAUACGCGAUACACAGUGUGUGUCUGAGCGAAAGCAUUAAGUAUCCCACCUGGGAAGUACGAUCGCAAGAUUG
This 367-nucleotide ribosomal RNA is filed under the name uncultured bacterium. RNAcentral's name for it is "bacterial SSU rRNA". It matches the Rfam family "Bacterial small subunit ribosomal RNA", at positions 527 to 896 of the family's 1533-position model. The record is from RNAcentral.